RNAcentral lists this ribosomal RNA (496 nucleotides) under uncultured bacterium. RNAcentral describes it as "bacterial SSU rRNA". It matches the Rfam family "Bacterial small subunit ribosomal RNA", at positions 899 to 1397 of the family's 1533-position model. The record is from RNAcentral.
ACUCAAAUGAAUUGACGGGGGCCCGCACAAGCGGCGGAGCAUGCGGAUUAAUUCGAUGCGACGCGAAGAACCUUACCUGGGUUUGACAUGGGCGGAAAUCCGGCAGAGAUGUCGGGUCCUUCGGGGCCGUCCACAGGUGGUGCAUGGCUGUCGUCAGCUCGUGUCGUGAGAUGUUGGGUUAAGUCCCGCAACGAGCGCAACCCUCGUUCGAUGUUGCCAGCGGUUCGGCCGGGGACUCAUCGAAGACUGCCGGGGUCAACUCGGAGGAAGGUGGGGAUGACGUCAAGUCAUCAUGCCCCUUAUGUCCAGGGCUUCACGCAUGCUACAAUGGCCGGUACAAAGGGCUGCGAUACCGUAAGGUGGAGCGAAUCCCAAAAAGCCGGUCUCAGUUCGGAUCGGGGUCUGCAACUCGACCCCGUGAAGUUGGAGUCGCUAGUAAUCGCAGAUCAGCAACGCUGCGGUGAAUACGUUCCCGGGCCUUGUACACACCGCCCGU